This 925-nucleotide ribosomal RNA is filed under the name uncultured organism. RNAcentral describes it as "bacterial SSU rRNA". It matches the Rfam family "Bacterial small subunit ribosomal RNA", at positions 1 to 916 of the family's 1533-position model. The record is from RNAcentral.
UGGAUCCAGACUUUGAUCAUGGCUCAGGAUGAACGCUAGCUACAGGCUUAACACAUGCAAGUCGAGGGGAAACGAUAGAGAAAGCUUGCUUUUUCUAGGCGUCGACCGGCGCACGGGUGAGUAACGCGUAUCCAACCUGCCCACCACUUGGGAAUAACCUUGCGAAAGUAAGACUAAUACCCAAUGAUAUCUCAAGAAGACAUCAGAAUGAGAUUAAAGAUUUAUCGGUGAUGGAUGGGGAUGCGUCUGAUUAGCUUGUUGGCGGGGUAACGGCCCACCAAGGCGACGAUCAGUAGGGGUUCUGAGAGGAAGGUCCCCCACAUUGGAACUGAGACACGGUCCAAACUCCUACGGGAGGCAGCAGUGAGGAAUAUUGGUCAAUGGGCGAGAGCCUGAACCAGCCAAGUAGCGUGCAGGAUGACGGCCCUAUGGGUUGUAAACUGCUUUUAUAAGGGAAUAAAGUGAGCCUCGUGAGGCUUUUUGCAUGUACCUUAUGAAUAAGGACCGGCUAAUUCCGUGCCAGCAGCCGCGGUAAUACGGAAGGUCCGGGCGUUAUCCGGAUUUAUUGGGUUUAAAGGGAGCGUAGGCCGGAGAUUAAGCGUGUUGUGAAAUGUAGAUGCUUAACAUCUGCACUGCAGCGCGAACUGGUUUCCUUGAGUACGCACAAAGUGGGCGGAAUUCGUGGUGUAGCGGUGAAAUGCUUAGAUAUCACGAAGAACUCCGAUUGCGAAGGCAGCUCACUGGAGCGCAACUGACGCUGAAGCUCGAAAGUGCGGGUAUCGAACAGGAUUAGAUACCCUGGUAGUCCGCACGGUAAACGAUGGAUGCCCGCUGUUGGUCUGAAUAGGUCAGCGGCCAAGCGAAAGCAUUAAGCAUCCCACCUGGGGAGUACGCCGGCAACGGUGCAACUCAAAUGAAUUGACGA